Molecule: ribosomal RNA, 209 nt
Filed under: uncultured bacterium
Lineage: Bacteria
Description: partial 16S ribosomal RNA
Rfam family: Bacterial small subunit ribosomal RNA
Source: RNAcentral
AGCGAACGCUGGCGGCAUGCUUAACACAUGCAAGUCGCACGGCCCGCAAGGGCAGUGGCGGACGGGUGAGUAACGCGUAGGUAUCUGUCUCCGGGGUGGGGAUAACUGUGGGAAACUAACAGCUAAUACCGCAUGAAGCCUGAGGGCCGAAAGGACGCAAGUCGCCUGGAGAGGAGCCUGCGUACGAUUAGCUUGUUGGGCGGGGUAAA